CAAUCAAUUUCAUUGACACAAUGACAGUAUGAACAAAAUAUAAAUUAUAAGUGUAAAAACAUGGAACACUAUUCAUUCAUCAUGUGUUUAUCGUAUCAGUGUAUAAUAAUAAACAACCGAAUUAGUAUGGAUUAGGUUAGAUAUUGUUUCUACUAUUGUAUAUCUAAGCACCCAUUAAUAAAUUUAAAAAGAAAAAACAA
This is a long non-coding RNA of Vespa crabro (European hornet), 200 nucleotides long. RefSeq lists it as uncharacterized. The record is from RefSeq and is a predicted model, not a curated record. NCBI's taxonomy places the organism in Eukaryota, Metazoa, Arthropoda, Insecta, Hymenoptera, Vespidae. The transcript has 2 exons.